Molecule: ribosomal RNA, 253 nt
Filed under: uncultured bacterium
Lineage: Bacteria
Description: partial 16S ribosomal RNA
Rfam family: Bacterial small subunit ribosomal RNA
Source: RNAcentral
UACAGAGGUGGCAAGCGUUGUUCGGAAUUACUGGGCGUAAAGGGCGCGUAGGCGGCCUUCUAAGUCAGACGUGAAAUCCCCCGGCUUAACCUGGGAACUGCGUCUGAUACUGGAGGGCCUGAGUGCGGGAGAGGGAUGUGGAAUUCCAGGUGUAGCGGUGAAAUGCGUAGAUAUCUGGAGGAACACCGGUGGCGAAGGCGGCAUCCUGGACCGACACUGACGCUGAGGCGCGAAAGCUAGGGUAGCAAACGGG